RNAcentral lists this ribosomal RNA (610 nucleotides) under Arthrobacter agilis. RNAcentral describes it as "bacterial SSU rRNA". It matches the Rfam family "Bacterial small subunit ribosomal RNA", at positions 463 to 1071 of the family's 1533-position model. The record is from RNAcentral. Lineage: Bacteria; Bacillati; Actinomycetota; Actinomycetes; Micrococcales; Micrococcaceae.
GGGUUGGUGACGGUACCUGCAGAAGAAGCGCCGGCUAACUACGUGCCAGCAGCCGCGGUAAUACGUAGGGCGCAAGCGUUAUCCGGAAUUAUUGGGCGUAAAGAGCUCGUAGGCGGUUUGUCGCGUCUGCCGUGAAAGUCCGGGGCUUAACCCCGGAUCUGCGGUGGGUACGGGCAGACUAGAGUGCAGUAGGGGAGACUGGAAUUCCUGGUGUAGCGGUGAAAUGCGCAGAUAUCAGGAGGAACACCGAUGGCGAAGGCAGGUCUCUGGGCUGUAACUGACGCUGAGGAGCGAAAGCAUGGGGAGCGAACAGGAUUAGAUACCCUGGUAGUCCAUGCCGUAAACGUUGGGCACUAGGUGUGGGGGACAUUCCACGUUUUCCGCGCCGUAGCUAACGCAUUAAGUGCCCCGCCUGGGGAGUACGGCCGCAAGGCUAAAACUCAAAGGAAUUGACGGGGGCCCGCACAAGCGGCGGAGCAUGCGGAUUAAUUCGAUGCAACGCGAAGAACCUUACCAAGGCUUGACAUGAACCGGAAUGAUGCAGAGAUGUGUCAGCCACUUGUGGCCGGUUUACAGGUGGUGCAUGGUGUCGUCAAGCUCGUGUCGUGAG